AGAUAAGCAUCAAAGUCGCACAGCAUUACAUUCCGAAGAUAUAAAUUACUGUCACUGUGAUGGCAUGUCUCCAAGAGCCAAGAGAAGCCCUGUCACACAGGAGCUUGGAAGAUGGCCUCCGAUGGUGCCAUGGCGGUCUCCAGCCCCGAGGGCGAAGGCAACAAGAAGGAGAAGGCUCCCAAGUCUCUGGCUUCGCCGAGGAGUAGCAGCGGCAUCGGCGGCGGUGGCGGUGGCCUCUGUCUGUGCUCGCCUACCACCCACCAAGGCUCCUUCCGCUGCCGGUUCCACCGCUCUCUCUCCACCUCGUGGAUGCGGCGCUCCAAGUCCAUGCCUUCUUCCACCUCCACCUCCAACUCCUCCUCCUCCUCCUCCCCUCCUCCUCCCCUCUUUCCCAAUCCCUUGGAGGCUACUCAGAACUAGGAUGGAUCGCAGCUGCGUCAUCUCUCCAUUCUGUUGCUUUCAAUACGAGACUUUGAACUGUAGGUAACCUCAUCACUGUGGUAUGCAUGCAAGCUUCUUUCCUUGGUUGCGAGAGCUGAAGCCAUGUUUCAGUGGAUCAAGUUCUGAUUUGUAAGCUCUCUUUGCUGAUAUAUAUAUAGAGCGAGAGAGAGAGAGAGAGAGAGAGAGAGAGAGUCUUAUAGUUGGAUUUUACUGUACAACGUUCUGCUGCAAGGAGAGAGAUUAAUCCAGUUGAUGCUGGAGAUAUAGAUCAGCCAAUGGUAUCAUGCAUGAACCUGAGCAGGAGACUGCCUGCACUGUCGAUGCUUUCGACUGCUGUAAUUUCCAUGGUUUAUGAGUCGAUCAUCGAUCCUAAAUCAGGAGACAAAUUGCGAAUCUUGACACUUGUGAGGAGAGAUUACCAUAUCGAAAGUCCUCGAUCCUGUUGGAUCUCUGUGCUUCCUCCUGCAAGAAAACAUUUAGAUUUGUUGUGGAUUGAUGAUUAAGUGACAGGGGAUUAAUUUUUCUACCAAAUUUCGCUCUUAAUGUUUCCAAAUUCCAUAUUCAAUUAGCUUCUUAGAAAUUAAAGUAUCCCAAUUUAAUUACGUGCUUGCAUUUGUUUUUGAUUAAUAAGUGUUCUAAUCCUACUUAAAUGGAUUAAGUAUUCAUUGGUAUCUGAAAAAUCCGAUCCGCUAUCGUCGUAUUUGUCGGUCACUACCUUUGUGAUGAUUGGAAGAAGUGGUGGGUGGAGCCCAUCGCGAAUCCAAAGGCCACAUUACGUGGGUCGGGAAGUGCGGAGAUUCCCUCAAUUAAACACACAUGAUUGACCAUGGCCCACGAUUCUCUGGAUUAAUUGACGAGCUACCCUUGUGAUGAUUGGUGGAACAAGUGGAGCCCAUUGCGGAGCCACAAGUGGGUUGAGUUCGGAGGUUCCCCCUAAUUAAUCACAAAUGAGAGAACUCCACCGCGAUUCUGUAAAUUAGAUCGGACAGCUACCCUUGCGAUGAUUGGAAGGCCAGGUGGAGCCCAUUUGGCUAGAUAACGUGGGUAAUUGGAGGCAAGAGUUAGGUAGUGUCGAGCAAGAUGGCGGAGAUCCGCCUGUUGGGCUCUAUGGGCAACAGGGCCUCCGCCGCCGCCCUCGUUCUGCGUCUCUCGUUGCCUUCUUUGUCUUUCUUGUGCUGGCUGGUCUCCACUCCCUCCUUUCCGUUUGGAGUCGCCUGGUGAGCGCCUCCUCUACCUUUCUUGAUAUGUCUUGUGGUUCUUGAAUCGAGGAUCUUCGAAGUCGCCUUCCCUAUGCCGGCUGGCCUCAUCUCCCUCCCCUCGCUUUGGAAUCGCCUGGUGAGCUCCUAAUCUACCUUCAUCGAUACGUCUUGUGGUUCUUGAAUCGAGGAUCUUUGGAGUCACCUGGUGAGCACCUCCUCUACCUUUCUUGAUACGCCUUGUAGUUCUCGAGUCGAGAAUCUCUGCUGUCUGGCUGGCCUCCUCUCCCUUGGAGUAGGCUGGUAUAUGUCUUGUAGUUCUUGAAUCGAGGAUCCUGGAGUUGCCUGAUGAUCUCCUCCUUCUCUGCCUCGUCUGCUAUGCUUGAUCUGUCUCCUGGUUCUUGAAUUGGGCCCACAUGUUGAUACAAAUUAAGUUUAGGAAGAAAGAGAUGCUCACAUGUUGAACAUUAGGUUAGCACAGAGAGGAACCAGCAAGCAAUUAAGAAGAAAUAGACCAUGUCAAGAAGCAUGUGACGAGCUUCGCUGCCCUAGAUUUCCUAGAAUGCUUGCGGUCGGAUGUGUUUGUGAUGACCAGCUGUGGUGGCAAUUUCGCCAAGCUGGAUGAUAGGAGAUCAUUGAUUGCUGCAUGGGCCACCGAUUGAAGUCGAUAAAGCCCCCAAAUCCUUGGGGAGGAUGUUGUGAUAACCCACCAUAUGCGGACUGGCCUUCCUGGAAAAACCUUCCCCAACUAUGACCAAUGGGAGAAUCUGCUAACUACGUGCAUGCGUCGAGCUGGGCUGCUGCUUCUUGUAUUGUCCGUCGUCCAUUUUCCCAUUUGGUCAAUCUGUUUUUUUUGUCCUUGAACUAAAUUUAGGCCUUGAACUCCGUUGUCUCGGAGAGAAAAGAUAGACAUGUGGUAGUGGUAAAGAUUGCGCAAACUUUGUUCUAACAGUGGAAUUUGUUGUUCAUGUCUCUUUUUCUUUUCUGUGAAAAUAAAAAAAAAAUUGUCUGGGUAA
Musa acuminata AAA Group (dessert banana) is the source of this 2653-nucleotide long non-coding RNA. RefSeq lists it as uncharacterized. NCBI's taxonomy places the organism in Eukaryota, Viridiplantae, Streptophyta, Magnoliopsida, Zingiberales, Musaceae. The record is from RefSeq and is a predicted model, not a curated record. The transcript has 3 exons.